UGGUGGCUGUUGGACACACACUGUGCUGGUUCCUUGGUACUGUCCUUACACCUCUCAGCGGUUCACAUGCCAUCAGUUCACAACUGAACCAGGAAGAAUGGAGCAGGUUUUUAAGUAAUAAAUUCAAGGUUUACAACCUCGCAAGACUGACGGUUUUCCUAGGUCUUGGUUAAUGCCUUGUCCUUAUGGAAGGUGCUAGAAGACCUACAUUGCGUGGCCUGGAGGGGAGCACUAAUUCCUUGGCAGAUGUCUUAGGACAAUAAAGGACCGAUCUUGUCAUUAUGCACAGGCUGAGAGACGCAAUUAUGAAAAAGAUGGUAUAGCAGGGCAAAGCAUAAACUGUGCUGUCUUCCACAUUCAGAUCAUGUAAAAUGCCAUGGAAUGCCCAGGAAAUACAAGUUGAUGGUC
Molecule: non-coding RNA, 408 nt
Organism: Coturnix japonica (Japanese quail)
Lineage: Eukaryota; Metazoa; Chordata; Aves; Galliformes; Phasianidae
Source: RefSeq, a predicted model, not a curated record